CAAGACCUCGCGUUAAUGGAGUGGCCGAUAUCUGAUUAGCUAGUUGGUGAGGUAAAGGCUCGCCAAGGCGACGAUCAGUAGCUGGUCUGAGAGGACGACCAGCCACACUGGAAUUGAGACACGGUCCAGACUCCUACGGGAGGCAGCAGUGGGGAAUUUUGGACAAUGGGCGCAAGCCUGAUCCAGCCAUUCCGCGUGAGUGAAGAAGGCCUUCGGGUUGUAAAGCUCUUUCGCAAGGGAAGAAAACUUACUCAAUAACACUGGGUGAGGCUGACAGUACCCUGAUAAGAAGCACCGGCUAACUACGUGCCAGCAGCCGCGGUAAUACGUAGGGUGCGAGCGUUAAUCGGAAUUACUGGGCGUAAAGCGUGCGCAGGCGGUUUUGUAAGUCAGAUGUGAAAGCCCCGGGCUCAACCUGGGAACUG
This 425-nucleotide ribosomal RNA is filed under the name uncultured soil bacterium. Its description in RNAcentral is "bacterial SSU rRNA". It matches the Rfam family "Bacterial small subunit ribosomal RNA", at positions 202 to 623 of the family's 1533-position model. The record is from RNAcentral.